UUCCUAAAAAUCGAAAACAAAAUCAUUAAUAAGAAGAAAAGGAAACCUUUUCCCCAAUCAAGGAAUAUUAAAAGAAUAUAUUAACUGUGCAUGUUAGUUGGACAAAAAGAAAACAUCUAUUUUGUGCGACAGUAAACAGGAAAAUAAGAAAAGCAUUGCGACUAAAUUCAAAUGCUAAAAAGAUUUCCAGCAAGGAUAUAUAUUUUCUUCUCUACAUCAUUUUUUGUUUUAUCUCGUUUGUUAUAUCUAGAAUUUGAAUAAACCAACAUACAAUAAAGAUACUCAUAACUAGUGGUGUUUCUCCUUUUAUCAAACCUUUAUCAUGCAAUCCAACAACGCUUGCUUUAUUUCGUAUCUGCAUCAAUAACAGUGUCGAGAAUAGGAAAGAAAAAUAUAAGAGUUAUGAAUUGAAAAGGAUGAUAAAAAUUUAGAUUGGCAGGUCAUAAAAGUUGAAAGCUCUCAACCAGAUGCAAGAAUUUUAAGGAUUUUAGGUAAAAAUACCAUUGAAAUAAAAAAGAGGUAAACAUGCAUUCAAAUAGAAGCAAACAAUGUGAAUCAUUCAGAACUUGUAGUCAAGAACCUUACACAACCAUGAGUAGGCUAAGGCCUGUAUAUUUCUAUGAACUGCUGUCCAUGCAAUAAAAGACGUGGAUCAAAUAUGGCAACAUAUAAGUCAGACUGUUAAUUAAUAAAAUUUCUGCAAUUCAAGGUAAAAUGCAGACAAGGAAAUGAGGUUGAGUUUAAAAUGUAAUGCAAAUACUUACGACAACCCAGGUAUUUCCGAAAUAUGUGUUCCGUUAGAAAAUAAAACAGCAAAAGUUGGCAAGACCUACAAGUAGGAAGUUGAUACAAA
RNAcentral lists this long non-coding RNA (853 nucleotides) under Panax ginseng (ginseng). RNAcentral describes it as "long non-coding RNA (PGIN_LNC013102)". The record is from RNAcentral. Lineage: Eukaryota; Viridiplantae; Streptophyta; Magnoliopsida; Apiales; Araliaceae.